GGAUUGCAGUCUGCAACUCGAGUGCAUGAAGCUGGAAUCGCUAGUAAUCGCGGAUCAGAAUGCCGCGGUGAAUACGUUCCCGGGUCUUGUACACACCGCCCGUCACACCAUGGGAGUCGGGAAUGCCCGAAGCCGGUGGCCCAAUCGAAAGAAGGGAGCCGUCGAAGGCAGGCCGGAUGACUGGGGUGAAGUCGUAACAAGGUAUC
RNAcentral lists this ribosomal RNA (206 nucleotides) under uncultured bacterium. RNAcentral describes it as "partial 16S ribosomal RNA". It matches the Rfam family "Bacterial small subunit ribosomal RNA", at positions 1295 to 1500 of the family's 1533-position model. The record is from RNAcentral.